RNAcentral lists this ribosomal RNA (133 nucleotides) under uncultured bacterium. Its description in RNAcentral is "partial 16S ribosomal RNA". The record is from RNAcentral.
UUGGCCGGUGCUUCUUCUGUACCUACCGUCACUUGCGCUUCGUCGGUACUGAAAGAGGUUUACAACCCGAAGGCCGCCAUCCCUCACGCGGCGUUGCUGGAUCAGGCUUCCGCCCAUUGUCCAAUAUUCCCCA